ACCGGGCACAGUGGUGCAUGCCUGUUAUCCUAACAACUCGGAGGCUGAGUCAGGAGGAUGGCAAAUAUGAGACCAGCCUCGGCAACUUAGCAAGAUUCUGUCUCAA
Molecule: small RNA, 106 nt
Filed under: Marmota monax (woodchuck)
Lineage: Eukaryota; Metazoa; Chordata; Mammalia; Rodentia; Sciuridae
Source: RNAcentral